AGGACGUGGGAGGGUGCCAUAUGCCUCGGGGAGCUGUCAACCGAGCGUUGAUCCGAGGAUUUCCGAAUGGGGAAACCCAGCACGAGUUAUGUCGUGUUACCCGUAUCUGAAUAUAUAGGGUACGGGAGGGAACGCGGGGAAGUGAAACAUCUCAGUACCCGUAGGAAGAGAAAACAAAAGUGAUUCCGCUAGUAGUGGCGAGCGAACGUGGAACAUGGCUAAACCGCACGCAUGCGAUACCGGGUAGGGUUGUGUGUGCGGGGUUGUGGGAAUGAUACGUCUCAGUUCUACCUGGCUGAGGGACAGUCAAAAAGUGUCGUGAUUAGCGGAAGUGGCCUGGGAUGGUCUGCCGCAGACGGUGAGAGCCCGGUACGCGAAAAUCCGACACCUGUCUUGUAUCACCUCCCGAGUAGCAGCGGGCUCGUGGAAUCUGCUGUGAAUCUGCCGGGACCACCCGGUAAGCCUAAAUACUUCUCGAUGACCGAUAGCGGAUUAGUACCGUGAGGGAAUGGUGAAAAGUACCCCGGGAGGGGAGUGAAAUAGUACCUGAAACCGUGUGCCUACAAUCCGUCAGAGCCUCCUUGUGGGGUGAUGGCGUGCCUUUUGAAGAAUGAGCCUGCGAGUCAGGGACAUGUCGCAAGGUUAACCCGUGUGGGGUAGCCGCAGCGAAAGGAGUCUGAAUAGGGCGCUUGAGUGGCAUGUUCUGGACCCGAAGCGGAGUGAUCUACCCAUGGCCAGGGUGAAGCGCGGGUAAGACCGCGUGGAGGCCCGAACCCACUUAGGUUGAAGACUGAGGGGAUGAGCUGUGGGUAGGGGUGAAAGGCCAAUCAAACUCCGUGAUAGCUGGUUCUCCCCGAAAUGCAUUUAGGUGCAGCGUUACGUGUUUCACCACGGAGGUAGAGCUACUGGAUGGCCGAUGGGCCCUAUCUAGGUUACCUGACGUCAGCCAAACUCCGAAUGCCGUGGUGUAUAGUCGUGGCAGUGAGACGGCGGGAGCAUAAGCUCCGUGCGUCGAGAGGGAAACAGCCCAGAUCGCCGACUAAGGCCCCUAAGCGUGUGCUAAGUGGAAAAGGAUGUGCAGUCGCAGAGACAACCAGGAGGUUGGCUUAGAAGCAGCCACCCUUGAAAGAGUGCGUAAUAGCUCACUGGUCAAGUGAUUGUGCGCCGAUAAUGUAGCGGGGCUCAAGCACACCGCCGAAGUCGCGGCAACCGCAAGGUUGGGUAGGGGAGCGUCCCCCAUGCAGCGAAGCUGUCGGGUAACCGAUGGUGGAGUUUGGGGGAGUGAGAAUGCAGGCAUGAGUAGCGAUAAGGCAAGUGAGAACCUUGCCCGCCGAAAGACCAAGGGUUCCUGGGCCAGGCCAGUCCGCCCAGGGUGAGUCGGGACCUAAGGCGAGGCCGACAGGCGUAGUCGAUGGACAACGGGUUGAUAUUCCCGUACCCGUGUAUGAGCGUCCCUGACGAAUCCAUUCUGCUAACCACCCAAAUGGCGGUCUAUCAAUCCCUUCGGGGUGCGAAGAUCGCCGGCUGCGUGGGACCCGGGUGGGUAGUAGUCAAGCAAUGGGGUGACGCAGGAAGGUAGCCGUACCAGUCAGUGGUAAUACUGGGGCAAGCCUGUAGGGAGAGCGAUAGGCAAAUCCGUCGCUCAUGUUCCUGAGAGGUGAUGCAUAGCCGAUUGAGGCGAAUUCGGUGAUCCUCAGCUGCCAAGAAAAGCCUCUAGCGAGCGCAUACAUGGCCCGUACCCCAAACCAACACAGGUGGUCAGGUAGAGAAUACCAAGGCGUACGAGAUAACUAUGGUUAAGGAACUCGGCAAAAUGCCCCCGUAACUUCGGGAGAAGGGGGGCCGGCUUACCGUGAACAGCCUUGCGCUGGGAGCGGGAACCGGCCGCAGAAACCAGUGGGAAGCGACUGUUUACUAAAAACACAGGUCCGUGCGAAGUCGCAAGACGAUGUAUACGGACUGACGCCUGCCCGGUGCUGGAAGGUUAAGAGGACCCGUUAACUCGUAAGGGUGAAGCGGAGAAUUUAAGCCCCAGUAAACGGCGGUGGUAACUAUAACCAUCCUAAGGUAGCGAAAUUCCUUGUCGGGUAAGUUCCGACCUGCACGAAUGGCGUAACGACUUCCCAACUGUCUCAACCAUAGACUCGGCGAAAUUGCACUACGAGUAAAGAUGCUCGUUACGCGCGGCAGGACGAAAAGACCCCGGGACCUUCACUACAACUUGGUAUUGGUGUUCGGUACUGUUUGUGUAGGAUAGGUGGGAGACUGUGAAGCUCGGACGCCAGUUCGAGUGGAGUCGUUGUUGAAAUACCACUCUGACCGUAUUGGACACCUAACUUCGAACCCUAUCGGUCAGACG
This 2359-nucleotide ribosomal RNA is filed under the name Mycobacterium simiae. RNAcentral's name for it is "bacterial LSU rRNA". It matches the Rfam family "Bacterial large subunit ribosomal RNA", at positions 53 to 2249 of the family's 2925-position model. The record is from RNAcentral. Lineage: Bacteria; Bacillati; Actinomycetota; Actinomycetes; Mycobacteriales; Mycobacteriaceae.